UACGAAGGGGGCUAGCGUUGCUCGGAAUCACUGGGCGUAAAGGGUGCGUAGGCGGGUCUUUAAGUCAGGGGUGAAAUCCUGGAGCUCAACUCCAGAACUGCCUUUGAUACUGAAGAUCUUGAGUUCGGGAGAGGUGAGUGGAACUGCGAGUGUAGAGGUGAAAUUCGUAGAUAUUCGGAAGAACACCAGUGGCGAAGGCGACUCACUGGCCCGAUACUGACGCUGAGGCGCGAAAGCGUGGGGAGCAAACAGG
RNAcentral lists this ribosomal RNA (253 nucleotides) under uncultured bacterium. RNAcentral describes it as "partial 16S ribosomal RNA". It matches the Rfam family "Bacterial small subunit ribosomal RNA", at positions 524 to 776 of the family's 1533-position model. The record is from RNAcentral.